This is a long non-coding RNA of Triticum dicoccoides, 1276 nucleotides long. RefSeq lists it as uncharacterized. Lineage: Eukaryota; Viridiplantae; Streptophyta; Magnoliopsida; Poales; Poaceae. The transcript is spliced from 3 exons. The record is from RefSeq and is a predicted model, not a curated record.
GAUGGUAUCUAUCUUCAGGCUUCACUGCUUCAGCAGACAAAAGCAUAGUCUAAAAUGAUACUCUGAUCAUCUUUGGGUUCUGAGACAUUGAUCUUAAAUUAUUCCACUGCAGGCAAUCCUUCGUCUCUAAGUAUGGUGCUCAAUGACUGUAAUUUAUCCUGCACCAUAAAUUAAUAUGCAGUGUAAAUCAAAGCUGUUUUGACUAUCUCAUAGAUUCUGACUUGCUGAGUUAAUGAGUUUCAGUUUCCUAUGAACCUGGAGAGAAAACAUGUUUGCUGGCCUGAGUAAAUCAUGUACGAUAUGCUUAGAAUUUUUUAGAUGAAUAUUGGAUAAGCAAAACAUUGGUAGUCCUUCAGCUGAUUUUCUUUUUGAAAAUUCUUAUUAUGCAAAAAUAUAUGUACCUGUAGUACCGGGGAUUUUUACAACAUAUUUGCUGUUAGUCCAAACUCUGGAGGCCAACUGAAACAACAUCCUCAUCUUUUAGGCCAGCUAAAAAUGCCUUCUCUAAUUUUCCUUUAAUUCUAUUGUAUUUACCUAUGCUUUUCAUUCGCAAACUGAGUAACAGACAUAUGGACCGAUGAAUAUGCACUUUUAUCAAAUGAAUGAAUGAAUCACUGCCAUUUUGGAGGAAACUCGUGGUAGCAAAUCUAUCAUUCUGCAUUGUGGAUUCAAUAUUCAUGCAAUCUGAAUGGAGUAUCUGAAUGCAUGUCUUAUGGUAUAUUGGCAUCCAUCUGUUGCAUUUGACAGUACCAUGUUGGCACAUUGCAAACACGUGGUUAAAUACAUAACUAUAAUGGCGAAUUUCUUGGACCGUAUUUCUCGUAUAUGAUGAGCAUGAGUUGAACUCUAGUUCAGCAAGACUACGAAAUCUUGAGCUCUUGGCCCUAAGCUCUGAUUUGCUCCUCUUCUUGCCUAUUUGCUUUUCAGGUAAUGGGCAUUUUGUCCUGGGUAUAAAGGUCACCACAUUUCUGAAAUGCACAACUUGGCACUAUACAUGCGGCGCAGGAUCAAUGUGCAUCCAGGUUCUAGUUUUGCGCCAACAAAAUGGACUUCAUGACAAGCACACUGCAAUCCUUCGUCUGUAAGUAUUCCGCUGCUGGCAAUCCUUCGUCUGUAAGUAUUCCGCUGCUGGCAAUCCUUCGUCUGUAUCGGGCAUCUCUGGAAUAUGUUUUGGGUCCAAGUUAACCUUGUUGCCGGAGGACAUUUUGGCCCCUUCCCGGACCCCCGGCGACCAGCGCUUGUACCACAGGUAACACUGAUCCCGCGAUGAAGCUGA